GACGAACGCUGGCGGCGCGCCUAACACAUGCAAGUCGAACGAGCGAGAGAGAGCUUGCUUUCUCGAGCGAGUGGCGAACGGGUGAGUAACGCGUGAGGAACCUGCCUCAAAGAGGGGGACAACAGUUGGAAACGACUGCUAAUACCGCAUAAGCCCACGACCCGGCAUCGGGUUGAGGGAAAAGGAGCAAUCCGCUAAUAGAUGGGCUUGCGGCUGAUUAGCUAGUUGGUAAGGUAAUGGCUUACCAAGGCAACGAUCAGUAGCCGGGCUGAGAGGCUCUGCGGCCACAUUGGGACUGAGAUACGGCCCAG
Molecule: ribosomal RNA, 311 nt
Filed under: uncultured bacterium
Lineage: Bacteria
Description: bacterial SSU rRNA
Rfam family: Bacterial small subunit ribosomal RNA
Source: RNAcentral